RNAcentral lists this ribosomal RNA (497 nucleotides) under uncultured bacterium. RNAcentral's name for it is "partial 16S ribosomal RNA". It matches the Rfam family "Bacterial small subunit ribosomal RNA", at positions 28 to 507 of the family's 1533-position model. The record is from RNAcentral.
GAUGAACGCUGGCGGCGUGCCUAAUACAUGCAAGUCGAGCGCAUGGACGCGAAGAUUGCUUCCGUACGGGUGGCGACGGCCGGAGGAGUAAGGCAUCGAUAGGCUACUAAUUAGUCGGGGAGACAUUCGGGAACCCAGAGCUGAUAAGAUCGCAUAUUUUCUACCGCAAAAUUCAAAAGUGACUGGCAGUUUUUGUGUCUAUGAUAGAUGAGCCCGCGCUGCAUUAGCGAGUUGGUAAGGUAACGGCUUACCAAGGCAACGAUGCGUAGCCGAGCUGAGAGGGUGAUCGGCCACACUGGAACUGAGACACGGUCCAGACUCCUACGGGAGGCAGCAGUAGGGAAUAUUCGGCAAUGGGCGAAAGCCUGACCGAGCAACGCCGCGUGAGUGAAGAAGUUCUUCGGAUUGUAAACCUCUGUUAUUGGGGAAGAACAGAUGUGUAAGGAACUGAGCUCCUCGUGACGGUACCCAAUAAGAAAGCCACGGCUAACUACGUG